GUAGGGCGCGAGCGUUGUCCGGAAUUAUUGGGCGUAAAGAGCUCGUAGGCGGCUUGUCGCGUCGGAUGUGAAAGCCCGGGGCUUAACCCCGGGUCUGCAUUCGAUACGGGCAGGCUAGAGUUCGGUAGGGGAGAUCGGAAUUCCUGGUGUAGCGGUGAAAUGCGCAGAUAUCAGGAGGAACACCGGUGGCGAAGGCGGAUCUCUGGGCCGAUACUGACGCUGAGGAGCGAAAGCGUGGGGAGCGAACAGGAUUAGAUACCCUGGUAGUCCACGCCGUAAACGUUGGGAACUAGGUGUGGGCGACAUUCCACGUUGUCCGUGCCGCAGCUAACGCAUUAAGUUCCCCGCCUGGGGAGUACGGCCGCAAGGCUAAA
This 374-nucleotide ribosomal RNA is filed under the name uncultured bacterium. Its description in RNAcentral is "bacterial SSU rRNA". It matches the Rfam family "Bacterial small subunit ribosomal RNA", at positions 527 to 898 of the family's 1533-position model. The record is from RNAcentral.